This 254-nucleotide ribosomal RNA is filed under the name uncultured bacterium. Its description in RNAcentral is "partial 16S ribosomal RNA". It matches the Rfam family "Bacterial small subunit ribosomal RNA", at positions 524 to 776 of the family's 1533-position model. The record is from RNAcentral.
UACGAAGGGGGCUAGCGUUGCUCGGAAUCACUGGGCGUAAAGCGCACGUAGGCGGCUUUCUAAGUCAGGGGUGAAAUCCUGGAGCUCAAACUCCAGAACUGCCUUUGAUACUGGAGAGCUUGAGUCCGGGAGAGGUGAGUGGAACUCCGAGUGUAGAGGUGAAAUUCGUAGAUAUUCGGAAGAACACCAGUGGCGAAGGCGGCUCACUGGCCCGGUACUGACGCUGAUGUGCGAAAGCGUGGGGAGCAAACAGG